GACGAACGCUGGCGGCGUGCUUAACACAUGCAAGUCGAGCGGAAAGGCCCUUCGGGGUACUCGAGCGGCGAACGGGUGAGUAACACGUGAGUAACCUGCCCCAGCCUUUGGGAUAACCCUCGGAAACGGGGGCUAAUACCGGAUACGACACAGCUUCGCAUGGGGUUUGUGUGGAAAGUUUUUCGGUUUGGGAUGGGCUCGCGGCCUAUCAGCUUGUUGGUGUGGUGAUGUCCUACUAAGGUGGCGACGGGGAGCCGGCCUGAGAGGGCGACCGGCCACACUGGGCCUGAGACACGGCCCAGAGUCCUAUGGGAGGCAGCAGUGGGGAAUAUUGCACAAUGGGCGGAAGCCUGAUGCAGAGACGCCGCGUGAGGGAUGACGGCCUUCGGGUUGUAAACCUCUUUCAGCAGGGAAGAAGCGUAAGUGACGUUACCUGAAGAAGAAGCGCCGGCCAACUACGUG
RNAcentral lists this ribosomal RNA (462 nucleotides) under uncultured bacterium. Its description in RNAcentral is "partial 16S ribosomal RNA". It matches the Rfam family "Bacterial small subunit ribosomal RNA", at positions 28 to 507 of the family's 1533-position model. The record is from RNAcentral.